Molecule: non-coding RNA, 28 nt
Filed under: Rattus norvegicus (Norway rat)
Lineage: Eukaryota; Metazoa; Chordata; Mammalia; Rodentia; Muridae
Source: RNAcentral
UGUGAACAAUGCGGUGCUCACUCCCAUA